GCUAUUCUUCAAUGGGCAUCCCUGACAUCAACCAAGAGAGUGCAGAGCGUACUAGGGUUUGCCAUUUCUACGGGGAUUUAUCGCAGGAUUUUCUCAAAUUGUUCAUCCUAUCACUUCUUUAAUAAGAAAGAAUAAAAAGUUUUCUUGACUCCCGACGCUGAAAAAGCAUUCCAGGAAUUGAAAUCGACUUUCACUUCAGCACCAGUUCUUCGGCCUCCUCGACCUAACCUACCCUACGUGGAUGAGACCAACGCUUCCAGUGUGCCAUGGAGCGGUGUUAUCACAAAGGGACCCAGAAACGGGCUGUUACAUCCAAUAGCAUUUUGCUUCCGUAAGUUUACAGCACCAGAAAUGAACUAGCCAUAACCGACAAAUAUUAUCGGUGAUCAAAGGAACCCUUAAAACCUGGAGACACUACCUGCUGGGGGCUAGACAUACUGUCACCAUUAUCACAGAUCACCGUAAUUUGCAAUAUUUAAAAACAGCCAAGGCCCAAUCUUCUCAUCAGCUUCGCUGGGCUUCUGUCUUCGUGGAGUAUGAUUUUGUGAUCACAUACCGACCAGGAGUCCGUAACGGAAAAGCAGACGCUCUGUCACGAAUGGGAGAAGACAAAGACACAUUUAUACCAUCAGAACCAGUACCCAUCAUUCCGGAGGAGCAAAUUCAAAAUCAGAUUGCAGUAACCGCCAGCUGGGAAGAUUUGAAGAUCGACUCCAGUCUCAAAUGGACCAAACCGCCCAACAAGAAUGGUUAAACAAAGGAGACCAGUACUCCAUCACAGACAAUUUGGCCUAUUUCCUGGAGAGACCAUACAUCGGAGAUAAAGAAACUCAAAACAAGAUUAUAGCCAAUUACCAUGAAUCAUUAGUGGACGGACAUCCCGGGAUUACUAAAACACGAGCCAAAAUCAGGAAGAAUUAUUGGUGGCCAACCUGGAGAAAGGCGUGGCCCACUUUAUUGCAACCUGCACAGUUUGCACACAACAGAAAUCCAAAGGUCCAGUGCCACAGGAUUAUUGCGUCCACUAAGUAUACCACCGGUCCCUUGGCAUACGUUAUCCAUGGACUUCAUUACAGAUUUACCUCCCUACGAAGGCUUCAACACAAUUUUAGUGGUGGUAGAUUUGUUCUCCAAGAUAGCACACUUUAUUCAACUAAAAGGACGUCCUACUGCUGGAACUCUGGCCUCUGUAUUCCUAGAACAAGUAAUCAGACUACAUGGUUUUCCUUCAGUACUGAUUUCUGAUUUGUCUCGUAACAGGUGAGCAAUCUUUCAGCAAGCAUUGCGGUAACCAAACGUUCCUGGAGAAUCUGGCAGGCAGCCCGGGAGAGUUCUAUUUUCUUGUGAUGGGCAGGGCAACCUGGAAUGGGUUUCCCUGAAAGAGGUGCCUGAGCCUUGGAAAUCGUUGCAGUUCCAGUGGCGUCCGGUGAGCUCUUGGCUUUCCUUGUUAAUCCAUGGAAGACAGUGUAAAUCGUAUGCCGGGCGUACCCAUAUACACAGCAGGUCUGCAAGGUGAACAUCCUCUGGCACAGAACAAUGUAGGUAAGGGAAGUCGGCAAGUCAGAUUCAUAACUUCGGGAUGAGAAUUGGUCUAAGGACUGGGUGGGCCAGGCUGGUAUGCAUAGCAGGACUGGGCAUGCCUCAUGGAUGGAUAUAGUACCCCCCUGGGGUCCAGUCAAGUCUUGGAAGUGAGCCAGGCCAUUUCUGUGGAUUGACCCAGCUAGGGUGGUUGCCUCUCUUCAUUCUCUUCCAGGGUUUCGGGGGUCCGGUGUUCUGCCUCAGCUGAUGUCUAGCAGCCAUGUUACAACUGGUGCAGACUAGGGGAAUCCAAUUGUUUAAUUAAAACAAGUUAUCACAAAGGCCUGAAGCUUGUGUUGACACAAUGUGAUUUUUACCAGUGCUCUGAAUGAUGAAGUGAAGAAAUUCACUGAAGCGCAGGUAAUCAGCGGGAGUAACUAUGACUCUCUUAAGGUGGUGAAAUGCCUCAUCAUCUAAUUAGUGGCAUUCAUGAAUGAAUGAACAGGAUUCCCAUUGUCCCUACCUACUAUCUAGUGAAAACACAGCCAAGGGAACAAGCUUGUUAGAAUCAGUGGGGAUAUAAAACCCUAUUGAGCUUGACUCUAGUCUGGCACUGUGAAGACACAUGAAAGUUGUAGGAUAAGUCAGAGGCCCUCAGGUCGGUGGUGAUUUACCAAUACUGUUAUCAUUUUUUUCAUUUACCUUGUGAGGUGGGGGCUUUUGCUUCUGGCUCAGAGCACCCAGAUCCAGCUGGUCGUGACCCACUCUGGGACAAUGGCAGGUAGGGAGCUUGAACGGGGCAGUACACCUGUCAAACGAUAAUGCAAGUGUUCUAAGGUAAGCUCAGGAGGACAGAAUACUCUGUAGAGCUGAAGGGCAAAAGCUUGCUGGAUCUCGAUUUUCAGUAUUAAUCCAGACUAUAAAGCAGGGCUUCACAUCCUUCUGAAUUUUUGGGUUUCAAGCAGGAGGUUUCAGAAAAUUACCACAGGGAUAACUGUCUUCUGGCAGCCACACAUUCAUAGCAAUGUCACAUUUUGAUCCUUCCAUGUCAGCUCUUCCUUUCAUUUUAAAGCAGAAUUCACCAAACGCUGGAUUGUUUACCAACUAAUAGGGUACAUGAGCAGGGUUUAGGCUGUUGUGUGACAGGUUAGUUUUUACCCUGCUAAUGAUGUGUUGUUGCAAUAGUAAUCAUGCUGAGUGUGAGAGGAACUGCAGGUUCAGACAUUUGGUGUAUGUGCUUGGCUGAGGAUUCAAUGGGCGUAGCUGCCAUAUGUGGGAUUCUGUAACUGAAGGUAUAUCUAUGGAUGUACAGCUACUUGCUAAUAUUAGGAAAUGGUUACAGUAGUUGUUAAUAAAUAGAUUCAGGGUGUGGUAUGUCUUAAACAAAUGCUGUUCCAACAUAAACAGGAGAUUUUAGGUGUGCUGCUCAUAGGUACACGGUACUCACCUCA
This 2969-nucleotide ribosomal RNA is filed under the name Ambystoma mexicanum (axolotl). Its description in RNAcentral is "eukaryotic LSU rRNA". The stretch from base 805 to 2969 matches the Rfam family "Eukaryotic large subunit ribosomal RNA". Lineage: Eukaryota; Metazoa; Chordata; Amphibia; Caudata; Ambystomatidae. The record is from RNAcentral.